This 556-nucleotide small RNA is filed under the name Arabidopsis thaliana (thale cress). RNAcentral's name for it is "ATSL052990". The record is from RNAcentral. Lineage: Eukaryota; Viridiplantae; Streptophyta; Magnoliopsida; Brassicales; Brassicaceae.
GGCUUUUUAAAAAAAAAUCUUUUUGGCUAUUUCAGGUUUGCUUGAUGAAAUAUAUGUUUUUAAAAAAAAAUAUUAUAUUUUUCUUAGAAGUAAACUGAAUCUAAACGAAUCUAAACAUAUCGAACCUGUGACAUCUACUGUCCCUUGAACACAAUAGUUCAAGAGACAGUAGAUGUCACAGAUACGACGUCUUUUAAGUUGUUUAGAUUCGUUUUUGUAAAGUCUAUCCAUGUGGCAUCCUAGUCAGCUACAUUAACGGUUUAACUAACGGCAUCUAUUGAUUUGUUGGUUUCAGCCAUAUUUUGAUUGUUUAUGUAGUAAAUUCAAAUUAUAAGUUAGUUCAUAUAGUUAAAAGCAUACUUCAAAGUUCUAUGUAUGGAUACGAUAAAGUAACUAAGUUUGGAGUGGAAUAGACCGUUCUCCCGCUCUUUUGCAGCCUACUUUGAGAUGAAUAUAAACCACAGCAUGAUGAUGAAAACCAUCGCCAUCCACAAGCUUGCGGUGUCUUGAAGGCCGGCCGGAACAUAAAACCCAGCGAAUAGAUGCUUUUUUUUUU